CUUCUUAAUAUCAUACCCCAUUUUUUCCAAAUUAGGUUGCACAGCAAAUUGAAUCAUAGGUGGUGGCCCACAAGCCAAUGCCAAAGUAUCCUCACCAGCCAAUGGAACAUGCUCCCUCAUGAUACUCUCCGUGAUGAAUCCCACACUAUAUUCCCACCCUUCUUUUGCAUUUUCCACAACAUACCAAAUCUUGAACCUAUCACUAUAAAUCUUUGCCCACUCAUCCAACUCUUCCCUCAACAAUAUAUCAUCCUCCGUCCGGUUUGCAUAAACAACAUACAUUUCAGUUUGAUCAUUGGCAUCCUUCAAAAUCGAGUUCGCCACUUGAUAAACCGGUGUGAUUCCGGUCCCACCGGCUAAAAAUGUUAGUUUCUUUGCAAAUCUUUGUUUCCCAUGGACCGAAAAAUUUCCUCUACCGAGAUACUCAAUGUGUCCCACGGGGCCUUUUACUUCCAAUGUCGAGCCAAUAGUGAGGGAGUCCAAAUAUUGAGACAUGAUUCCACCAUUAGGAAACCUAGGGUGCACGUUUUUGAAGUAAACUUUGACAACCAAUUCAAAAUACCCAAUUUCAUCGACGCUACUUGUUGGCGUAUAAGCUCGCAUGACCAAUUUUCCAUCGACGGUAACACAUAGGAAAAUGUGUUUACCAACGGGUAGUCCCAGUAAUUGGUCUUCAGAGGGUAAUGCAAAUCGGAAGAGUCUUACAUCAUGUGAAAUUGAGGUUUUUGCAAUGAGCUUGCAUGGGAUUUUCUCACGUGGGUUAAGAGCCAUGAUUUCCUUAAUAGGAGCAAGAUGAGUAAAUUCAGAAUUUCCAUGCAUGGAGUUAUUUGGUGACGAUGAAUCGGAGGUGUAGCCAGUGGCAACAAGUUCUCCGAUUCUAUAAUCUUCGAGCAAUUUCUUCGCUUUAUCGGAGUGGAUAGCUUCGAAUUCAUCGGUACAAUCAGUGCCGGCAUUGAUCAAGAUACUGUCUGAGCCACCGGGGUGGUCUUUAAGGAAGCGGGUGCAGUCGUAGACAUUGCCGUGGACGAUGAUCCAAGCAGAAUCAAGGGUUUUGUGUUUUUUAACUUCAGAAAGGGAGUAUGUUUUUGAAGAAGUGUUCAUGAAUGGAGUAGAGAUACUUUUCUUGAGAAUUGGUUUGGUUUCUUGUGAUCUUUCUAAGUGUCUUUCCUUUGCCAUCCAACCACCUGAUUGGUUACCUGGUUGUGUUGGAUGUUCAAACACUAUGCCAAUUUCUCCUUUGUGGGGCCUACACACGUUUGUUUUUACCCUGAACCAACAGUUAUUCAUCAUGCCCUGUAAAUUGCAAACACCAAAAGUAUUUCAUUAGAUUCCAUUCAAAUUCAAGAAAUAAUAUUGAGAACAGUGUGUAGUUCUUGAAAUAUCUAGCUCUAUUAUUUUUAAUUGAAGUGACUAUAAAUCAAUUAUUUUGUGUUUACUUUAGCCAAGUCAUUUCAUGGGAGUUAAGCCACAUAUUCAUAA
RNAcentral lists this long non-coding RNA (1479 nucleotides) under Medicago truncatula (barrel medic). RNAcentral describes it as "lncRNA gene31301". The record is from RNAcentral. Lineage: Eukaryota; Viridiplantae; Streptophyta; Magnoliopsida; Fabales; Fabaceae.